This 341-nucleotide ribosomal RNA is filed under the name uncultured Deferribacteres bacterium. RNAcentral describes it as "bacterial SSU rRNA". It matches the Rfam family "Bacterial small subunit ribosomal RNA", at positions 28 to 351 of the family's 1533-position model. The record is from RNAcentral. Lineage: Bacteria; Pseudomonadati; Deferribacterota; Deferribacteres.
GACGAACGCUGGCGGCGUGCUUAAUACAUGCAAGUCUAACGAGAAAGUUCCCUUCGGGGAGCAAGUACAGUGGCGGACUGGUGAGUAACACGUAGGCAACUUGCCUGGGAGUGGGGGAUAACCCUGCUAACGCGGGGCUAAUACCGCAUGACGCAGCGGAUCCGCAUGGAUCUGUUGUUAAAGCGGGGGCUCUUACGGGACCUCGUACUUCCAGAUAGGCCUGCGCUCCAUUAGCUAGUUGGUGAGGUAAUGGCCCACCAAGGCGACGAUGGAUAGCCGACCUGAGAGGGUGAACGGCCACACUGGGACUGAGAUACUGCCCAGACUCCUACGGGAGGCAG